RNAcentral lists this ribosomal RNA (519 nucleotides) under uncultured eukaryote. RNAcentral describes it as "SSU rRNA". It matches the Rfam family "Eukaryotic small subunit ribosomal RNA", at positions 1161 to 1699 of the family's 1831-position model. The record is from RNAcentral.
AGGGCACCACCAGGAGUGGAGCCUGCAGCUUAAUUUGACCCAACACGGGAAAACUCACCCGGCCCGGACACUGGAAGGAUUGACAGAUUGAGAGCUCUUUCUUGAUUCAGUGGGUGGUGGUGCAUGGCCGUUCUUAGUUGGUGGAGUGAUUUGUCUGGUUAAUUCCGAUAACGAACGAGACUCUAGCCUACUAAAUAGAUAGUCGGCUUACAAACGUCGACUAGACUUCUUAGAGGGACAGGCGGUGAUUCAACCGCACGAAACAGAGCAAUAACAGGUCUGUGAUGCCCUUAGAUGUCCGGGGCCGCACGCGCGCUACACUGAAGUGAUCAGCGUGCUUUUUCAGCCUACUCUGUCAAGAGUGGGAAACCCAAUGAACCUUCUUCGUGAUUGGGAUAGGGGAUUGUAAUUAUUCCCCUUGAACGAGGAAUUCCCAGUAAGCGCGAGUCAUAAGCUCGCGUUGAUUACGUCCCUGCCCUUUGUACACACCGCCCGUCGCUACUACCGAUUGAAUGUUUU